GACGAACGCUGGCGGCGUGCCUAAUACAUGCAAGUAGAACGCUGAAGGGAGAGCUUGCUCUUCUGGAUGAGUUGCGAACGGGUGAGUAACGCGUAGGUAACCUGCCUGGUAGCGGGGGAUAACUUUUGGAAACGAUAGCUAAUACCGCAUAAUAGUAGAUGUUGCAUGACAUUUGCUUAAAAGGUGCAAUUGCAUCACUACCAGAUGGACCUGCGUUGUAUUAGCUAGUUGGUGGGGUAACGGCUCACCAAGGCGACGAUACAUAGCCGACCUGAGAGGGUGAUCGGCCACACUGGGACUGAGACACGGCCCAGACUCCUACGGGAGGCAGCAGUAGGGAAUCUUCGGCAAUGGACGGAAGUCUGACCGAGCAACGCCGCGUGAGUGAAGAAGGUUUUCGGAUCGUAAAGCUCUGUUGUAAGAGAAGAACGAGUGUGAGAGUGGAAAGUUCACACUGUG
Molecule: ribosomal RNA, 459 nt
Filed under: Streptococcus sp. oral taxon 064
Lineage: Bacteria; Bacillati; Bacillota; Bacilli; Lactobacillales; Streptococcaceae
Description: bacterial SSU rRNA
Rfam family: Bacterial small subunit ribosomal RNA
Source: RNAcentral